RNAcentral lists this transfer RNA (73 nucleotides) under Rattus norvegicus (Norway rat). It matches the Rfam family "tRNA". From Rfam's summary of the family: Transfer RNA (tRNA) molecules are approximately 80 nucleotides in length. Lineage: Eukaryota; Metazoa; Chordata; Mammalia; Rodentia; Muridae. The record is from Rfam by way of RNAcentral.
GCCCAGCUAGCUCAGUCGGUAGAGCAUAAGACUCUUAAUCUCAGGGUCAUGGGUUCGUGCCCCACACAGGGCG